GCGAGCGUAGCUCAGUUGGUAGAGCAUCCGCCUGAUACGCGGCAGGUCGAAGGUUCGACUCCUUCCGCUCGCA
Molecule: transfer RNA, 73 nt
Filed under: Parcubacteria group bacterium CG1_02_50_68
Lineage: Bacteria
Also listed under: 6 other names
Description: tRNA-Ile
Rfam family: tRNA
About the family: Transfer RNA (tRNA) molecules are approximately 80 nucleotides in length. Their secondary structure includes four short double-helical elements and three loops (D, anti-codon, and T loops).
Source: RNAcentral